RNAcentral lists this ribosomal RNA (301 nucleotides) under uncultured bacterium. Its description in RNAcentral is "partial 16S ribosomal RNA". It matches the Rfam family "Bacterial small subunit ribosomal RNA", at positions 509 to 807 of the family's 1533-position model. The record is from RNAcentral.
CAGCAGCCGCGGUAAUACGAAGGGUGCAAGCGUUAAUCGGAAUUACUGGGCGUAAAGCGUGCGUAGGCGGUGAGUUAAGUCUGCUGUGAAAUCCCCGGGCUCAACCUGGGAAUGGCAAUGGAUACUGGCAAGCUAGAGUGUGUCAGAGGAUGGUGGAAUUCCCGGUGUAGCGGUGAAAUGCGUAGAGAUCGGGAGGAACAUCAGUGGCGAAGGCGGCCAUCUGGGACAACACUGACGCUGAGGCACGAAAGCGUGGGGAGCAAACAGGAUUAGAUACCCGAGUAGUCCCUGUCUCUUAUAC